GUAAAAGCGAUGAAAAGAACGAGUAGUGUUGAUGGAACUUACAGAAAGCGGCCGGUUGCUGAGAGGCGCAAGGAAAGUCAGCAUGAAUACAUCUUGGAGCUGCGUACCGAAACAUAAAGUAGGCUACGCCGGGGUUGCAUCCGUCAUCCAUGCAGGAGGUAUCGCAUUUUGCCGUACCGAAUGAGGAGAGUUAUGUGAGUAGCUCUCGAAUAAAGGUGGUAACACGUUCCUACACGUCCUUUAG
Molecule: non-coding RNA, 244 nt
Filed under: Lysinibacillus odysseyi
Lineage: Bacteria; Bacillati; Bacillota; Bacilli; Caryophanales; Bacillaceae
Description: T-box sequence
Rfam family: T-box leader
About the family: Uncharged tRNA acts as the effector for transcription antitermination of genes in the T-box leader family. T-boxes are found upstream of many aminoacyl-tRNA synthetase genes and some amino acid biosynthetic genes usually in Gram-positive bacteria. The anticodon of a specific tRNA base pairs to a specifier sequence within the T-box motif, and the NCCA acceptor tail of the tRNA base pairs to a conserved bulge in the T-box antiterminator hairpin.
Source: RNAcentral